Molecule: ribosomal RNA, 584 nt
Filed under: uncultured bacterium
Lineage: Bacteria
Description: bacterial SSU rRNA
Rfam family: Bacterial small subunit ribosomal RNA
Source: RNAcentral
CGGCCCACCAAGGCGACGAUGCGUAGGGGUUCUGAGAGGAAGGUCCCCCACACUGGUACUGAGACACGGACCAGACUCCUACGGGAGGCAGCAGUGAGGAAUAUUGGUCAAUGGCCGCAGGGCUGAACCAGCCAAGUCGCGCGAGGGAUGACGGUCCUAUGGAUUGUAAACCUCUUUUGUCAGGGAGCAAAGGACGCCACGUGUGGCGUUUUGCGAGUACCUGAAGAAAAAGCAUCGGCUAACUCCGUGCCAGCAGCCGCGGUAAUACGGAGGAUGCGAGCGUUAUCCGGAUUUAUUGGGUUUAAAGGGUGCGCAGGCGGAAUGUCAAGUCAGCGGUAAAAUUUCGGGGCUCAACCCCGUCGUGCCGUUGAAACUGGCGUUCUUGAGUGAGCGAGAAGUAUGCGGAAUGCGUGGUGUAGCGGUGAAAUGCAUAGAUAUCACGCAGAACUCCGAUUGCGAAGGCAGCAUACCGGCGCUCAACUGACGCUCAUGCACGAAAGCGUGGGUAUCGAACAGGAUUAGAUACCCUGGUAGUCCACGCAGUAAACGAUGAAUACUAACUGUCCGGGCCGAUUGAGGUCUGG